This 440-nucleotide ribosomal RNA is filed under the name uncultured bacterium. RNAcentral describes it as "bacterial SSU rRNA". It matches the Rfam family "Bacterial small subunit ribosomal RNA", at positions 462 to 902 of the family's 1533-position model. The record is from RNAcentral.
GAAGAUAAUGACUGUAGCAGGUAAAGAAACCCCGGCUAACUCCGUGCCAGCAGCCGCGGUAAUACGGAGGGGGUUAGCGUUGUUCGGAAUUACUGGGCGUAAAGCGCGCGUAGGCGGACAUUUAAGUCAGAGGUGAAAUCCCAGGGCUCAACCCUGGAACUGCCUUUGAUACUGGGUGUCUUGAGUUCGAGAGAGGUGAGUGGAAUUCCGAGUGUAGAGGUGAAAUUCGUAGAUAUUCGGAGGAACACCAGUGGCGAAGGCGGCUCACUGGCUCGAUACUGACGCUGAGGUGCGAAAGUGUGGGGAGCAAACAGGAUUAGAUACCCUGGUAGUCCACACCGUAAACGAUGAAUGCCAGUCGUCGGGUAGUAUACUAUUCGGUGACACACCUAACGGAUUAAGCAUUCCGCCUGGGGAGUACGGUCGCAAGAUUAAAACUC